UGCGAAGCCUCCAGCUCUCCAUGGAGAAGGCUUUGGGCUGCCAGCAACUCCCUCACUGAGUCAUCUCGCACUGCAAGAUGGAACGGUUCCCAGGGCGCUGGCACUUCCAUUGGCAGCAGCAGAAGAACCAAAAUAGGACACACCAAAUGGAUCUAAUUUUGCCUGAACCUCGGUCUGCAAGGUUUGGGGGUACACCCUGGGGGAGGAUCAGAGCUGGGUCCAGAGGGGCCUUUGCUCUCCCUCCUUGCUCCUUCUACCUUCACCCCAUUUGACGAGCUGUGCCAUGUCAGGGCUUGGCUCCAUAGUGCUGGUUUUAAAAAGGCGCCUCACUCAUAGCUAUUCAGAUUUCAGAAAUAAAUGCUCUACACCACUGAUCAAAACGCCUGGAGUCAACAGAGCCGGUGACAUCUUAAGAAAUGCACCCGGUACUUAAGGCUUUCUUCUUAAUUAUACAUGUUCAAAUCAUAGACAGAUUUUCUCCUUCUGGUCCUGAAUAUCGGAGCUGCCAAAUCCAAUUGAAUCAUCUUCUUUUAAAUGCAUUUUGCAGUACGCGUUUCGCCGUUUUCCCAAUUUCCAUUGUAAACGAGCACCAGAAUUGUGCUGAGGGCCCUUUUCUUACAGGCUGCAUUAUUCAACCAGCAAAUGAAGAAAGGAAAGUGCUGAUUGC
RNAcentral lists this long non-coding RNA (667 nucleotides) under Homo sapiens (human). Its description in RNAcentral is "HSALNT0245061". Lineage: Eukaryota; Metazoa; Chordata; Mammalia; Primates; Hominidae. The record is from RNAcentral.